This is a long non-coding RNA of Helianthus annuus (common sunflower), 672 nucleotides long. RefSeq lists it as uncharacterized. NCBI's taxonomy places the organism in Eukaryota, Viridiplantae, Streptophyta, Magnoliopsida, Asterales, Asteraceae. The transcript has 4 exons. The record is from RefSeq and is a predicted model, not a curated record.
UCAAUCCUUCUCACGUAAGUUUCUUCAAAUCGCCAUCUCUCUUCUUUCCCAUUUUUAUUUCAUCUUCCAUACACGCGCAUUAUUCACAUUCAUCUUCCACCGCUUUCUCUCUCAUCUUAAUUCUCUAUGUUCUCUCAAUUGACCUCAUUCUGCUUUCAUCGUUCAAUAGGAAACCCUAGCAUUACACACUACACAUCAGAUCCUCUUCGUUCAUCCUAUUGAAACUGACCGAUAAUUCUUUUGGGUCGACAAUUCCCUAUCUUCAAGAUUUGGAAUCAAGUGAUGGAGUCGCAGAUUAUUGACAGCUAGGAUUGCUUCUGCUACGUUGACUAUCGUAAUUUCCACUUAGCGUCGUUACACAAACAACAACAACAAGCCCUAAGGACGUUUUACUCUGAAGAUGAAUAUGUUGAAAUUGUCGUGCCCUGAGAAAGCAUGUAAGUUUUUACUCUCUUCGCUUCAUCCUAUAUUCCUAUUACAGUUUACAAAAUCAUGAGAUAUCUAAUACAGUUUCCACUCUCUUCGCUACAUCCUAUUGUUCAAUUCUGAACAUGAUGAAAUCCCCAAAAUCAUGAGAAAGCAUGUAGGAGAAAUCUGGAAUGCGUGCUUUCACCUCACCUGCAUACUCCAUCAAUUCAAGCAUGUCAACAACCACAAGCAGGGUUUCCUUAA